This 1242-nucleotide ribosomal RNA is filed under the name Triticum aestivum (bread wheat). RNAcentral's name for it is "partial small subunit ribosomal RNA". Lineage: Eukaryota; Viridiplantae; Streptophyta; Magnoliopsida; Poales; Poaceae. The record is from RNAcentral.
GUCGGUGAGGCGGACUUCGUCUCCGUCUCUGUCAACACCUCUACCAAGAGCUGCGGCCUCGGCACCGGCAAGGCCGUCGAUCUCACCUAAUGUGUGAGUGUCGCACGCAUGAUCGUCGACAUCUCCCGCUCCAACAAAAUCAUGGUCGAGAAGUUCACUGUGCCCAUCAAGACCGCCAAGGCCAUCGAGAAGAUCCUUGCCCACAACCGUCGUGGCGUCCUGAACCAAAUUCUGUCCAACCCGGAGUUCCUCGAUGAGGGCACCGCCGUGUAGGACCUACUCGCGCUCCACCACGUCCUCAUCGGCGGCCGCAAGAUGCCUGAUAGGCAGGCCGUCGUGAAGGUCCUCAAGUACGUCUACCCGCACAUGGUCCCCGAGGAUCGCAUCAUCACCACCAACCUCUGGUCGGCCGAGCUGGCCGAGCUGCUCAAGCUCGCCACCAACGCCUUCCUCGCGCAGAGCAUCUCCUCGGUGAACGAAAUCUCCACAUUGUGCGAGGCCACCAGCGCCGACGUCACUGAGAUGGCCAACUGCAUCGGAAGGACUCGUGCGUCGCCCGUGCUUCCUGCCUUCCUCUCGGCCUGCGUCGGAUUCAACGGCUCGUGCUUCAAGGACAUCCUCAACAUCAUCUACAUCUGUGAGUGCUACGGCCUCCCCGAGGUGGAGGGCUACUGGAGGCUGGUCAUCGUCAUCAACGACUGCCAGAAGAGCGGCUUCGUCAACCGCGUCGUCUCCUCCAUGUUCAACACCGUCGCCGCCGUGAAGAAGGUGGCCAUGCAGGGGUUCGCCUUCAAGAAGUUUACCGGUAACACCCACGAGACACCGGCCAUCGACAUGUGCGAGGGUCUGCUCAGCGACAAGGUCAUCGUCAACAUGUACGACACGCAGGUGACGGAGGAGCAGGUGCGGUGUGACCUCGCCAUGAACAAGUUUGACUGGGACCACCCGUGCCACCUACUGCAGGUGGGCGAGCCCGCCGGGCAGCCAGUCACCGUCAUGUCGGACGCGUACGAGGCCGUCCGCGAUGCGCAUGCCGUCUGCAUCCUGACCAAGUGGGAGGAGUUUAGGAGCCUCGACUGCAGGUGCAUGUACAACGUUACAGAAGCCGGCUUUCAUCUUCGCCGUCACAACAUUAUCGACCCGGCCAGGCUCCGGGAUAUUGGAUUGAUUUUCUAUGCAACUAGCAAGCCGAUUGACCAAUGCCCAGUGGCUCAAGGACAUGCCAACCGUCGCCUCAGGUGA